Papaver somniferum (opium poppy) is the source of this 734-nucleotide long non-coding RNA. RefSeq lists it as uncharacterized. The transcript is spliced from 4 exons. Lineage: Eukaryota; Viridiplantae; Streptophyta; Magnoliopsida; Ranunculales; Papaveraceae. The record is from RefSeq and is a predicted model, not a curated record.
GAUUUAAUCCUGGGCAUAGUUUAACGCAAGCUAAAUCUAACCCUCUUCAUUAGUUUUUCAUUCUCCACAUCUCUGUUCGUCUUCUCCACUUCUCCUCUCCACGGCAACAUCAAUCCCCAUCGACAUCACCACCACUCUCGUUGGAAUUUCACAGCCGCCACCCACACUACCACCGGUACCACCUUAUUCUUCAGUUACUUCUUUUUCUUCUACAGGUUACCCAGCUUGAUAUCCACCACUUUUUUCAUUCACUUGGAGCUGGAGUACUUGAAGAAGUUCGUGUCCAACGAGAUAAAGGGUUUGGUUUUGUGAGAUACAGUACCCACGAAGAAGCAGCUAUAGGCAUUCAGUUGGGGAAUGCUAACAUGCUUUAUGGAAAGACAAUUAAGAAGGCAAUUGAAUGUAGGAGGGGGAUGUGAUGCUAAAAAUGAAGGGAACAAACCAUCUCAACAUAUCAAAUCAGAACAUUGAGAUUCUUUUAAAAUGUAAUGGUCGUGGGGAGAUGUCAUUUUUGAGGAGAAAGUCAACAUCUACAACUAUUGAAGUUUAUGGAGGGGUGAACAGUAGAGUGUCAAACCCAUUGAUGAAGAUCAGAUGAUUCAGAUCCACUAUAGUGUCUUUAUAUCUAGAACUGAUUUCUACUUUUAUGUAUUUUUGUAUUAAUUAGAUGGAAUGGAUAAUGUUUUCUAUGAUAUACAGUUUUUAAUGAAUUUAAGUAAUGUUCAUUGGAUUUA